This 364-nucleotide ribosomal RNA is filed under the name uncultured bacterium. RNAcentral's name for it is "partial 16S ribosomal RNA". It matches the Rfam family "Bacterial small subunit ribosomal RNA", at positions 338 to 699 of the family's 1533-position model. The record is from RNAcentral.
CCUACGGGUGGCAGCAGUGAGGAAUAUUGGUCAAUGGACGCAAGUCUGAACCAGCCAUGCCGCGUGCAGGAAGACGGCUCUAUGAGUUGUAAACUGCUUUUGUACGAGGGUAAACGCAGAUACGCGUACCUGUCUGCAAGUACCGUACGAAUAAGGAUCGGCUAACUCCGUGCCAGCAGCCGCGGUAAUACGGAGGAUUCAAGCGUUAUCCGGAUUUAUUGGGUUUAAAGGGUGCGUAGGCGGUCGGAUAAGUUAGAGGUGAAAUCCCGCGGCUCAACGUCGGAAUUGCCUCUGAUACUGUGAGGCUGGAGAGUAGUAGCGGUAGGCGGAAUGUAUGGUGUAGCGGUGAAAUGCUUAGAGAUCA